Long non-coding RNA from Macaca fascicularis (crab-eating macaque), 1908 nucleotides. Lineage: Eukaryota; Metazoa; Chordata; Mammalia; Primates; Cercopithecidae. The record is from Ensembl.
CCUUCCGCGGCUCGGAGAGGAAGGCAGGGGAGCCCCCAAAUAUCAUUCCCCUCCCGCCCCCUAGGGAAACUGAUGCUGAAAGAGCCAGCGAGAGAAAGAAAAAAAAAGUUGCGGAGAGGGGCGGCCCAAGCGACCGAGGGCAGCGCCAGCGACGGAGGGAAAUUAGUCGAGAGGACAGGAAGACAAGCCCCCCUAAUUUAGGAAACUCCGAAGCUUGGAGCUGGAGUCCUGAAAAUGACUCCGAUGACAACUGCUCCGGAUCUGUGCCAGGAGCCACGCCCCGGGCUGCCACGCCCAGAGGGAGGGGCGCCCUAAGACCUGUUGCGUGGAAUCCCUACUUGGAAAGCCUCAGUAAGCUCCAGAACGCAACUACUGCACGUUCCAAUGUCCCGCCACCUUCCCAGUGCCCCGCCACCUUCCCAGUGCCCCAGCGAGGACCUCGAUCACCUCAGCAAGAACUUACCUUUCCUUUGCAGUGGAAAAGAGGGAAUCCUGCCUAAAACCUACUUCACGGUGUUAAAUGUUUGUAUUAUCGGAAAAUAGCCUUAAUUGAUUUACCGGACAGGUCACUAGGUUUCAGCUUAGCCCAAAAGACGAAUCAUGAUGACAUUUCAGGCACCCUCAAACCUUAUCACAGGAACUCAACCCUGAGUGGUUGAGGUCAGGUCUUCAGAUAAGAGAAAGGUUUUAUAAACAUAUUAAUAUUUACUGAGAUAAGUGACAACCAAAAAGUAAUUUAAAGAAAAAUAGUUGGUCGAGCGCGGCAGCUCACACCUGCAAUCCCAGUCCUUUGAGAGGCCAAGACCAGAGGAUAGAUUGAGGUCAGGAGUCCAAGACCAGCCUAGGCAACAUAGCAGGACCUCGUCUUUAGAAAAAAUUUGAAAAAUUAGCCGGGCAUGGUGGUGCGCACCUGUGGUCCCAGCUAGCGAGAGGCUGAGGUGGGAGGAUUGCUUGAGCCUGGGAGGUGGAUGUUGCAGUGAGCCGUGAUUGCACCAGUGCACUCCAGCUUGGGUGACAGAGCAAGACCCUGUCUCAAAAUUUUUUUAAAAAGAGGCUGGGUGCGGUGGCUCACGCCUGUAAUCCCAGCACUUUGGGAGGCUGAGGAGGGCGAAUCUCGAGGUCAGGAGUUCGAGACCAGCCUGGCCAAUAUGGUGAAACCCCAUCUAUACUAAAAAUACGAAAGUUAGCAAGGCGUGGUGGUGCGCGCCUGUAGUUACAGCUGCUCCGGAGCCUGAGGCAGAAGACUCGCUUGAGCCCGGGAGGUGGAGGUUGCAGUGAGCUGAGAUCGCACCACUACCCUCCAGCCUGGCGACAGAGCAAGACUCGUCUCAAAAAAAAAUAAAAUUAAAAAAACAAAGAAAAGAAAGAUAUCUAACAGGAUUCUGUACACCAAAUGGCUUAUUUCAAUCUAGUUAGGAAAAUGGAACACAUAUGUGAAAUGAAGAUUAAAAUACAAGCACUAAUUGCCAAAUAAAUGCAUUCAAUACAAUUUGGUUGAGCUCUAAGGGUGACAAAUGUGUAUGUCUCCAAGGACCAGGUAAGUAAUGUAAGUCAAUAAAGUAGGCAAGAUGAAGACUAGGCCAAUGGAAGUGCCCAUAUUUUGUUUGAAGAGGGUGGCCAGGCACGGUGGCUCAGGUCUGUAAUCCCAGCACUUUAUGAGGCCAGAUGGGAGGAUCACUUGAGCCCAGAAGUUUGAGAUUAGCCUGGGCAACAUGGUGAAAUCCUGUCUACUAAAAAUACAAAAAUUAGCUGGGCGUGGUGACUCAUGCCUGUAAUCCCAGCUACUUGGGAAGCAGACAGGAGAAUCGCUUGAACCCAGAAGGCAGAGGCUGCAAUGAGCCAAGAUCGUGCCACUGGACUCCAGCCUGGGUGACACGGCAAGACUCUGUCUCAAAAAAAAAAAAAAAA